Schizosaccharomyces pombe (fission yeast) is the source of this 482-nucleotide non-coding RNA. The record is from the annotation of a GenBank genome assembly. NCBI's taxonomy places the organism in Eukaryota, Fungi, Ascomycota, Schizosaccharomycetes, Schizosaccharomycetales, Schizosaccharomycetaceae.
GCACAUGUAUCUCUUUUCAUUUACUUACUAGAACAUUAUCUUUUCUAGACAAAUAAGUAUAAAUGAAUUACUCUCCAUAACAAGGGAUAAAAUAUAUUGAAACAUCUUUGUAUCUUAAAAUUUAAUAUUCAAUUCUGUACGUUUCAAGCAAAUAACAAAAACUAUGACUUUAAAAUGUACAUUUCAAAUAUAACCUCGUAACCUCUCUCUUUAGACAAAGCUAAAAAUCUAUUUACGCUUACACAGCGUGGAAUUUGGGUCUUAAACUUAUAAAAUACUCCUUUCAUAUUUUCUUCUUUUGAAUUACAAAAGUUUUUUGGUUCUCACAAAAAUGAAAUAAUAUCAUGACUUCGAAAAUGUUCUUUGCUAAUAAAUAUUAUUACCACUAAUUGACUACAUCGCUUCGUCCGCCUUUUCCUAUUUAUUUAUAUAGCAGCUAGUUCAUUCGUAUAUCAAUUUCAUCAUAUUUACACUGGUAAAUU